AGGACGAACGCUGGCGGCGUGCUUAACACAUGCAAGUCGAACGAUGAACUCACCUUCGGGUGGGGGAUUAGUGGCGAACGGGUGAGUAACACGUGGGCAACCUGCCCCUGACUCUGGGAUAACUCCGGGAAACCGGAGCUAAUACCGGAUAUGAACACGAAGGACACCCUUUGUGUUGGAAAGUUUUUCGGUCAGGGAUGGGCCCGCGGCCUAUCAGCUAGUUGGUGGGGUAAUGGCCCACAAGGCGACGACGGGUAG
Molecule: ribosomal RNA, 258 nt
Filed under: uncultured bacterium
Lineage: Bacteria
Description: partial small subunit ribosomal RNA
Rfam family: Bacterial small subunit ribosomal RNA
Source: RNAcentral